Molecule: long non-coding RNA, 319 nt
Organism: Motacilla alba alba
Lineage: Eukaryota; Metazoa; Chordata; Aves; Passeriformes; Motacillidae
Exons: 3
Source: RefSeq, a predicted model, not a curated record
GUCUUGCUAUCAGUGGAGCUUCAUUGGACUGGAUUUUUUCUUUUUUUUUGACUGCUGAUCCAAAAGAGACAGGAUUUUGCAUUUACCAUUCAGAAGCAGGUGUUAUCUACCAAGCCUGUUCUAAGGCCUGAACUAAGGCUGAGAAUAAAAAUCUGAUAAAAGAACAAUGGCUCUUUAAACGUGGUAAGGAUGCUUGUAACUCUGCACAAUUAGAUCCCUGAGUGCCAUCCUGUGUCUCUGAAUGGCUGGGAGGAGAAUAAUGAAGCAAACAAGAAAGAGUUCAGCAUGGUUGAAGGCCAGUUUACUGCCCAGAUGACUU